GCAGGAUAGCUCAGCUGGUAGGGCAUGAGAGUCCUAAUCUCAGGAUCGCGGGUUCGAGCCCCACAAUGGGCA
Molecule: non-coding RNA, 72 nt
Organism: Podarcis lilfordi (Lilford's wall lizard)
Lineage: Eukaryota; Metazoa; Chordata; Lepidosauria; Squamata; Lacertidae
Source: the annotation of a GenBank genome assembly